GAUGAACGCUGGCGGCGUGCCUAAUACAUGCAAGUCGAGCGAACAGACGAGGAGCUUGCUCCUCUGACGUUAGCGGCGGACGGGUGAGUAACACGUGGAUAACCUACCUAUAAGACUGGGAUAACUUCGGGAAACCGGAGCUAAUACCGGAUAAUAUAUUGAACCGCAUGGUUCAAUAGUGAAAGACGGUUUUGCUGUCACUUAUAGAUGGAUCCGCGCCGCAUUAGCUAGUUGGUAAGGUAACGGCUUACCAAGGCAACGAUGCGUAGCCGACCUGAGAGGGUGAUCGGCCACACUGGAACUGAGACACGGUCCAGACUCCUACGGGAGGCAGCAGUAGGGAAUCUUCCGCAAUGGGCGAAAGCCUGACGGAGCAACGCCGCGUGAGUGAUGAAGGUCUUCGGAUCGUAAAACUCUGUUAUUAGGGAAGAACAAAUGUGUAAGUAAAUAUGCACGUCUUGGCGGUACCUAAUCAGAAAGCCACGGCUAACUACGUG
RNAcentral lists this ribosomal RNA (497 nucleotides) under uncultured bacterium. RNAcentral describes it as "partial 16S ribosomal RNA". It matches the Rfam family "Bacterial small subunit ribosomal RNA", at positions 28 to 507 of the family's 1533-position model. The record is from RNAcentral.